UUGGCCAGCAGAGUGGAUGACAUAUCUAGCCUUUAUAUAGAUAUCUAUGGGUAAGAUGGCUUCUAAAACCAUUCCAGCAGCUGAUUGGUGGUUCAACGGCUGAUUGGAUCAUGGAGCUCCUCCUACUCGUCAGUGGCUGCAGCUGGCUGGGCUCUUUAAAAAGCCUAGUUUUGAGUGUUCACUUUCUGCUCUCUGCUCCUGCAGUUGGUGUCUUUGUGUUUGUAGGGAGCUUCAGCAGAAGCUGAAGGUUGAAGGUCUUCAGAGCGACUGAAGAGAGCAAAAUCAUGUUCAGACGUUACCUAUUUCCAAUCCAGGACAAACGGGAUUUUGUGGACCUCCUGGUUCAAUGGACCUCCUGGUUCAAUGCUUAAUGGAAAGAUCUACGUGACUCGACAAAGCUGUAUAUCUCUUGGAGGGGAGCAACUGGCUUGUAUUUUGUAAAAAAUUAAGACUUUCUCUAGCAUGAAACUGAUUAAUUUUGAUCAUGGAGCCAUGAAGAUGUCUGAGUGCUGAAAUGAUAUAUUUGUGAAAAUAAAGUAAAAAAACAAAAAAAAA
Molecule: non-coding RNA, 555 nt
Organism: Pimephales promelas (fathead minnow)
Lineage: Eukaryota; Metazoa; Chordata; Actinopteri; Cypriniformes; Leuciscidae
Source: RefSeq, a predicted model, not a curated record